AGGUGGAGUGGCCGGCUGCUGCUGUCCAGGACACUGCUGUGCUUACCCAGAGUGCUCCAGAUAGUCCCUGGCCCCUUACUGAGAGAGUUUUGGUGCUCUGGGUUUGUACAGAACUUGCCCUUACUUAAAAAAAAUCACCUUCAUAAACAGAUUGCUACACUCAUACUUCUUAUUUAUGGCCACAGGGGAGAUCAACUUCAGGAGGUAAGGUAAGGUAAGGUAAGGCAAGGUAAGGUUAGUUAAGGUAAGGAAUGGAGGUUGAGAAUGCUUGAUAAGGUAGAGUAAGGUGAGGAAGGGUUGAUUUAGGUGAGGUAAGGUAAGGUAUGGUAUGGUAUUGCAGGGUAGGGUACGGUAAGGUAAGGUAAGGUAAGGUUAGUUAAGGUAAGGAAUGGAGGUUGAGAAUGCUUGAUAAGGUAGAGUAAGGUAAGGAAGGGUUGAUUUAGGUGAGGUAAGGUAAGGUAUGGUAUGGUAUUGCAGGGUAGGGUAAGGUAAGGGAAAGUAAGGUAAUGUGACAUACAGGAAGGUAUGGUAAGGUAAGGUAAGGUAAGGUAGGGCAAGGUAAGGUAAGGUAAGGUAAGGUAAGGUAAAGCAAGGCAGGGUCAGGUCAGGUAAGGUAAGGUAUGGAAAAACUAAGGAAAGUUAAGGUGUGGUAAGGCAAAGUUAGAUAAUGUAAACCAAUAUAAAAUUAGAAGUAGGGUAAGGUAAGGUAAGGUAAGGUAAGGUAAGGUAAGG
Molecule: long non-coding RNA, 732 nt
Organism: Eriocheir sinensis (Chinese mitten crab)
Lineage: Eukaryota; Metazoa; Arthropoda; Malacostraca; Decapoda; Varunidae
Exons: 3
Source: RefSeq, a predicted model, not a curated record